GAGGAAGAGGAUGAUGCCAACACAGAUGAUGCAGAAGAUGACUCUAAUGCGGAAUCUAAACUGGACUCAACUGAAGAGAAUGUCGAGGAGUCUAAGAAACAUAUGAAUUGUAGGAAGGGAAGCAUAUAGAGAAGCUUUGGUGGAGUGCGCCAUUUUUUCUCCUUAUUUUUUAGCUGUAGAAAUGUUGCAGAAUCUGGUUCAAGCAUGUUGGGUCAUUUCAAGCAGAAAGGGAGAAGAAUGCUCAACGAGAACGAGAACAAGAAGAAUGCUCUCAUAUCCUUUUUAUUUUUUUUAUUAUUAAUAUAUUU
Long non-coding RNA from Pyrus x bretschneideri (Chinese white pear), 308 nucleotides. RefSeq lists it as uncharacterized. Lineage: Eukaryota; Viridiplantae; Streptophyta; Magnoliopsida; Rosales; Rosaceae. The record is from RefSeq and is a predicted model, not a curated record. The transcript is spliced from 3 exons.